CGCGUAGGCGGUUUGGUCAGUCAGAUGUGAAAGCCCUGGGCUCAACCUGGGAACUGCAUUUGAUACUGCCAAACUGGAGUGUGAUAGAGGGAAGUGGAAUUCCGGGUGUAGCGGUGAAAUGCGUAGAUAUCCGGAGGAACAUCAGUGGCGAAGGCGACUUCCUGGACCAACACUGACGCUGAGGUGCGAAAGCGUGGGUAGCAAACA
Molecule: ribosomal RNA, 207 nt
Filed under: uncultured bacterium
Lineage: Bacteria
Description: partial 16S ribosomal RNA
Rfam family: Bacterial small subunit ribosomal RNA
Source: RNAcentral